AGAGCUUUACUGCAUAGCAGUUAAAGACGCGACUAUAAGGAAAGACGAAGUUUUAGUUUUAGUUGUCAAUUCAAGAUAUUUUUCGGUUGAUGAUCCGCCUAAUGGCGGGUCAUUCAAUUGAUAAAUAGGACAGUCUCAUAGCUCAGCUGGUUAGAGCGCUACACUGAUAAUGUAGAGGUCGGCAGUUCGAGUCUGCCUGAGACUACUACGCACCAAAAGGUGCGAAGUAUAUCCGCGAAGGCGGAUAUCUUUAGGAUUAAAGUCAUAGGCUUGGUUUUAAAGGAAGUUCAUAAACAAGUAUUGAAGGAAAUUUUAGAAGUUGGGUAACCCAGUUUGCAGUAAGCAGCAGCAGUUAGCAGUAAUUUAGACUGUGUACUGAAUACUGAAACUGCCUACUUUAUAAAUGGGGGAUUAGCUCAGCUGGCUAGAGCGCCUGCCUUGCACGCAGGAGGUCAUCGGUUCGACUCCGAUAUUCUCCACUUGUGCUGAACUUGUUUCAGCACCUCUUCGAUAAUUCACCUGCCAAGGUAGGAGGGUUAGAAGAAAGAGAUCCUGAGACAAGCUCAGGAUAAACGUUCAUUGACAUAUUGGGAAAUAAUAAGAAUACGAGAGAAACAAAUUUUAUAUAGUUAGAAAUAACUAAGUUAUAUUAUAGAUAGAACUCAUUAAUAAUACAAAAGGCCAAGGUAGCAAUACCAAGGUCCUUAUAAGAGCAAAAAGUA
Molecule: transfer RNA, 722 nt
Filed under: uncultured Flavobacteriaceae bacterium
Lineage: Bacteria; Pseudomonadati; Bacteroidota; Flavobacteriia; Flavobacteriales; Flavobacteriaceae
Description: 16S-23S ribosomal RNA intergenic spacer
Rfam family: tRNA (bases 132-205)
Source: RNAcentral